Molecule: non-coding RNA, 441 nt
Organism: Durio zibethinus
Lineage: Eukaryota; Viridiplantae; Streptophyta; Magnoliopsida; Malvales; Malvaceae
Source: RefSeq, a predicted model, not a curated record
CGACUCAAGCAGAAAUACUAAAAAUUGUUCUUGUUUCCAUUGUUCCCUAGAGUUUCUUAUCUACUUUCCUCGAAGGAAAAUUUUCUGGUUCCCUUUCUUAUUUGGAUCUCUAGAAGUGGUGGAAAAAGCCCCAGAAGUCCUCACAGCUUGAUUCCAAAGCGAUCAGGUGUAACUCUCUUGAAGUGGUAGAAACAGAGUAGAGGAGAGAGCCCUUGCAAUUGCAACACUGAAUCCACAAACUUUUCAAGACUGCCAAUUCAGAUCGACAGAAAGAAAGAGAAGUAAAAAAAUUUGAAGCACAAAGGUCGAAUUGGUGUAGAAGGGAGUCGCAACAGUCUAGCAGCUCCUCAUCCUCACAUCUUGAUUUACUUCAAGUGAUAAGGUAAUCUUCAUGAAUUAUGCUGUAGUUAUAGUAAAUUUUGUUUGGAAAAGUCUGAGUUU